Long non-coding RNA from Panthera uncia (snow leopard), 903 nucleotides. RefSeq lists it as uncharacterized. Lineage: Eukaryota; Metazoa; Chordata; Mammalia; Carnivora; Felidae. The record is from RefSeq and is a predicted model, not a curated record. The transcript has 4 exons.
GAGAAAGAGAAAAGGGAGGGUGCGAGAACUGGAGCGGAAGAAGAGAGAGGGAGGGGUAUCAUCAAGACGGUCCGAGCGCGGCGAGGGGGUAGGACGGGCGCUCAGCUCCGCGACAGGGGUUUUCCCUUGGUAACGGACCAAACGACCGAGUCAAGCAGCCGUGGGCUGUAUGGUGGUGAGGGAUGGAUGAUGUAGCUGCCCCACUUCCUACUUGCACUCUUGUUUACUGGAAAAAUGGAUGGGAGAUCUGUGGAGGCGGUAAAGCGAGGAGUUCUAACUCUGUACAUGUUAUCAUUAUCUUCAUUUUCCAAGUGGGGAAACUGAGGCUCAGAGGCAUUAAGAAGUUGUCCAACAAAACACAACUAAGCAGAAGAGCAGAGGUUUGAUCCCAGAACCAAGGUAUUAUGAGGAUUAAGUCAAUCAAGAUGUCCAGACAAAUGCCAGCAGCUCGGAAGUGAGGUCUGGGCUGGAGAUGGAACAGAGAGCCAGCACCAAGGAGAAGCUGUGGUUGAGGCUGGAGCCUCAGAGCACUCAAGCCUGCAGGGGCAAGUGAAGGGGACAGCCCUGAGGAGGCAAUGAAGACUUUAAUACUAAUAUUUCCAAUGGUUUCAGGGCUAGGCUGUCGAGAUCCAGCAAAGAAAGGAGCUAAUGAGAAAUACCUUGCUUCACACACCUGCCCACCUAUCCGUGGUGUUUCAUAUAACUUAAGUGUCAGUACAUUCAAUGAAACAUUUAAUGACCUAAACUUCAAUUGCUAUAAAUAGCAAUACUCCUGUCCAGCAUAAAAUAAGGCAUGAUUAAUGCUGAAGGAAAUGCUGACCAAGGGCAAUGGGGGUUUAUAAUCAUAGGGGACAAGAGUGGAGUACAUUUUCUUUGAUAAGUACAGUAAAGUAUAUAAAUGUA